GAUGAACGCUGGCGGCGUGCCUAAUACAUGCAAGUCGAGCGAACAGACGAGGAGCUUGCUCCUUCGACGUUAGCGGCGGACGGGUGAGUAACACGUAGGUAACCUACCUAUAAGACUGGGAUAACUUCGGGAAACCGGAGCUAAUACCGGAUAAUAUUUCGAACCGCAUGGUUCGAUAGUGAAAGAUGGCUUUGCUAUCACUUAUAGAUGGACCUGCGCCGUAUUAGCUAGUUGGUAAGGUAACGGCUUACCAAGGCAACGAUACGUAGCCGACCUGAGAGGGUGAUCGGCCACACUGGAACUGAGACACGGUCCAGACUACUACGGGAGGCAGCAGUAGGGAAUAUUCCGCAAUGGGCGAAAGCAUGACGGAGCAACGCCGCGUGAGUGAUGAAGGUCUUCGGAUCGUAAAACUCUGUUAUUAGGGAAGAACAAACGUGUAAGUAACUGUGCACGUAUUGACGGUACCUAAUCAGAAAGCCACGGCUAACUACGUG
Molecule: ribosomal RNA, 497 nt
Filed under: uncultured bacterium
Lineage: Bacteria
Description: partial 16S ribosomal RNA
Rfam family: Bacterial small subunit ribosomal RNA
Source: RNAcentral